RNAcentral lists this ribosomal RNA (310 nucleotides) under uncultured bacterium. RNAcentral's name for it is "bacterial SSU rRNA". It matches the Rfam family "Bacterial small subunit ribosomal RNA", at positions 623 to 931 of the family's 1533-position model. The record is from RNAcentral.
GCAUGUGAUACUGGUGGUGCUAGAAUAUGUGAGAGGGAAGUAGAAUUCCAGGUGUAGCGGUGAAAUGCGUAGAGAUCUGGAGGAAUACCGAUGGCGAAGGCAGCUUCCUGGCAUAAUAUUGACACUGAGAUUCGAAAGCGUGGGUAGCAAACAGGAUUAGAUACCCUGGUAGUCCACGCCGUAAACGAUGUCUACUAGCCGUUGGGGUCCUUGAGACUUUAGUGGCGCAGUUAACGCGAUAAGUAGACCGCCUGGGGAGUACGGCCGCAAGGUUAAAACUCAAAUGAAUUGACGGGUGUCGACGCGGCCG